GCAGUGGUGGGUUGGUGGUAAAAUUCUUGCCUCCCAUACUAAAGACCCAGGUUUGAUUCCUGGCCAAUGUA
Molecule: transfer RNA, 71 nt
Filed under: Loxodonta africana (African savanna elephant)
Lineage: Eukaryota; Metazoa; Chordata; Mammalia; Proboscidea; Elephantidae
Rfam family: tRNA
About the family: Transfer RNA (tRNA) molecules are approximately 80 nucleotides in length.
Source: Rfam by way of RNAcentral